Molecule: non-coding RNA, 102 nt
Filed under: Halobacteroides halobius
Lineage: Bacteria; Bacillati; Bacillota; Clostridia; Halanaerobiales; Halobacteroidaceae
Also listed under: 1 other name
Description: SAM-I sequence
Rfam family: SAM riboswitch aptamer (S box leader)
About the family: The SAM riboswitch is found upstream of a number of genes which code for proteins involved in methionine or cysteine biosynthesis in Gram-positive bacteria. The SAM riboswitch acts at the level of transcription termination control.
Source: RNAcentral
AAUGCAUCGAGAGUAGUGGAGGGACAGGCCCAAAGAAGCUCAGCAACCGCCUUUAAAGGGAAAGGUGCUAAUUCCUGCCAGGAGUUUUCUGGGAGAUGUAUA